ACGUAGGGUGCGAGCGUUAAUCGGAAUUAAUGGGCGUAAAGCGUGCGCAGGCGGCUUUGUAAGUCAGAUGUGAAAUCCCCGAGCUCAACUUGGGAACUGCGUUUGAAACUACAAGGCUAGAAUAUGUCAGAGGGGGGUAGAAUUCCACGUGUAGCAGUGAAAUGCGUAGAGAUGUGGAGGAAUACCAAUGGCGAAGGCAGCCCCCUGGGAUAAUAUUGACGCUCAUGCACGAAAGCGUGGGGAGCAAACAGG
This 252-nucleotide ribosomal RNA is filed under the name uncultured bacterium. Its description in RNAcentral is "partial 16S ribosomal RNA". It matches the Rfam family "Bacterial small subunit ribosomal RNA", at positions 525 to 776 of the family's 1533-position model. The record is from RNAcentral.